This 253-nucleotide ribosomal RNA is filed under the name uncultured bacterium. RNAcentral describes it as "partial 16S ribosomal RNA". It matches the Rfam family "Bacterial small subunit ribosomal RNA", at positions 524 to 776 of the family's 1533-position model. The record is from RNAcentral.
UACGUAGGUGGCAAGCGUUGUCCGGAUUUAUUGGGUUUAAAGGGUGCGUAGGCGGUCUAUUAAGUCAGUGCUGAAAUAUCCCGGCUUAACCGGGAGGGUGGCAUUGAUACUGAUGGACUUGAGUGCAGUCGAGGUAGGCGGAAUUGACGGUGUAGCGGUGAAAUGCUUAGAUAUCGUCAAGAACACCGAUAGUGUAGACAGCUUACUAGGCUGUAACUGACGCUGAGGCACGAAAGCGUGGGGAGCGAACAGG